Molecule: transfer RNA, 74 nt
Filed under: Clostridiales bacterium
Lineage: Bacteria; Bacillati; Bacillota; Clostridia; Eubacteriales
Description: tRNA-Gly
Rfam family: tRNA
About the family: Transfer RNA (tRNA) molecules are approximately 80 nucleotides in length.
Source: RNAcentral
GCGGGUGUAGUUCAAUGGUAGAAUCCAAGCCUUCCAAGCUUGUUGUGUGAGUUCGAUUCUCAUCACCCGCUCCA